This 74-nucleotide transfer RNA is filed under the name bacterium. RNAcentral describes it as "tRNA-Ile". It matches the Rfam family "tRNA". From Rfam's summary of the family: Transfer RNA (tRNA) molecules are approximately 80 nucleotides in length. Their secondary structure includes four short double-helical elements and three loops (D, anti-codon, and T loops). The record is from RNAcentral.
GGGCCUCUAGCUCAAUUGGUUAGAGCAUCCGGCUCAUAACCGGCAGGUUCGCGGUUCAAGUCCGCGGAGGCCCA